Molecule: ribosomal RNA, 253 nt
Filed under: uncultured bacterium
Lineage: Bacteria
Description: partial 16S ribosomal RNA
Rfam family: Bacterial small subunit ribosomal RNA
Source: RNAcentral
UACGUAGGGUGCGAGCGUUAAUCGGAAUUACUGGGCGUAAAGCGUGCGCAGGCGGUUUGUUAAGACAGGCGUGAAAUCCCCGGGCUCAACCUGGGAACGGCGCUUGUGACUGGCAGGCUAGAGUACGGCAGAGGGGGGUGGAAUUCCACGUGUAGCAGUGAAAUGCGUAGAGAUGUGGAGGAACACCGAUGGCGAAGGCAGCCCCCUGGGCCGAUACUGACGCUCAUGCACGAAAGCGUGGGGAGCAAACAGG